AUGAGAAGGACACUACCAACGCCUCCCGGAAGCUUGAUUGAAUGUCUGAAAGAAAGAGAGAGAGGAUUCUUUCUCUCCCUUUGAGCCCAGGUCAAUCCAAAAUUUCUAUUUUUCCCCUUUUUGCGCAUGUUACGGUAUUUGAUAAGUGCCUCGCCAGCUUCCCCAGGUACCACGUCCAAGCAUAUUAAAGUUGCACGUCCAAACUCCAAAGGGCACCAUAGUUUGAACUCUUGGUUUAGGUACAACCAAAAUAUUCCAUGACAGCCCAAAAUUAAGCAAAAUAAAUAGACUCUCGGGUGUUGCAAGAUUAUAAAAUAAUAAUAAACUAUUACACAUAGAAAAUAAAAUACGAGGCUUUACAUGGUUCGAUCUUUGAUCUAUACAAGAUAGAAAAAGAUUUUAUUAUAUCAUAAAGAUGAAGUACAAAAAAAAAA
Molecule: long non-coding RNA, 434 nt
Filed under: Elaeis guineensis (African oil palm)
Lineage: Eukaryota; Viridiplantae; Streptophyta; Magnoliopsida; Arecales; Arecaceae
Description: long non-coding RNA (EGUI_LNC025141)
Source: RNAcentral